GGAAAUUAACUAAAAAAUUGGAGGAUAUUUACAAAUUACGAGACAAGUAAAAACAUGGAACAUACCACGAGGAAAGCCACGGCGAGGAGGAGGCAGCGAUCUGAGCUGAGCUAAUGAACGGCCUUAAUCAAAAAGAAACUCGAAGUCGUGGCUUGUUUCUGGGCUUUCAUGUUUUUAAUGCAAUGUGGGCCCUCGCCAAUCUUAAAAAUAUUAUUAUAUUGAAAUUGUGGGCCGACUUUCAUCGGAAGCCUCAUCCAUCAUCACGGAGCACUCCAUGUGCCCCCAUCGACCCGAUCUUGGGGCGGAUAUGCAGGCUGUCGUGUC
RNAcentral lists this long non-coding RNA (324 nucleotides) under Citrus maxima (pomelo). RNAcentral's name for it is "long non-coding RNA (CMAX_LNC001678)". Lineage: Eukaryota; Viridiplantae; Streptophyta; Magnoliopsida; Sapindales; Rutaceae. The record is from RNAcentral.